CCAAAGGCUCUUUUCAGAGCCACUCACUGGGUCAAAAAAAAUGGCU
Fukomys damarensis (Damara mole-rat) is the source of this 46-nucleotide non-coding RNA. NCBI's taxonomy places the organism in Eukaryota, Metazoa, Chordata, Mammalia, Rodentia, Bathyergidae. The record is from Rfam.